AACGUUAUUUAUUGUCCAGACACUGCGUAUGCCAGGAAUCAUGAAGAUGACCAAUGGUAUUCAUAUGAUGAUAGUAGCGUCACGCCCAUCAGUGAAUCACAAAUUGUGUCCAAGGCUGCGUACGUUCUCUUCUAUCAACGUCGUAAAAUCAGCAGUAAUGAUGUCCAGUCUGAUGGAUGUCACGAUGAGAAUAUGAGUGAACAGAGUUCUCNUGACGAGAGAGGUGACGAGUCAAUGGAUACCUAAUGAUGAAUUAUAAGAGCAUCAAUAGCAAGUCAGUGACUGCUUCUAAGGCUGCUAACAACCUUUUACACAAGAAUGAAGACUUCNCUUCUGAUAUUUGGUCGCCGGAGCCUGGAUCCUGGAUCAUUCUACGUCAGGGCGCAGGCUUCGGCUGAAAAUCAGAACAUCUUCAAAUCACAUGAAUUUUAGUGCACUCUUGAUCUAUNGCAAUGAGAGAAAGCUAAUCAUUCAAUUAAGCUAAUCAACAAAACCGAGGAACAACCGCUAAUAGACCCCGCCUCAUUNGAGCUCGAAAAGAGGACGGUAAAGCACAAUACUUUAGUUUGGUCUCAUGAAACAUGGCAUCUAUUUACAUCAAUAUCGUCCAUGAAGGAUAAUAANGUCUUGGUGGAUAGUUGUAACCUGGUUGUAUUUGUAGUAUGGUCAAGANACCUAGUUUGCAGGUCAAAUAAAUGGCACUAGAGUAGAAAUAUAUUAUUGAGCACCAUUACAAAGAGUCAAAUCUCAUUAAUUGCUGCGUAGUCAGUUUUUGCAAAAUAACGUGACGAAAUAGUUAAGAUUAAAUAAAUCUGAGGUUGUUAUGGAAUAAUUUAUUGUAAAUUUUAUAUUUGUAUUUCAAGCAAAACUUUAUGACAAAAAAACCACUCCUAUCCUAGGUUAUUUUAAACCUGUUUUCAUUGUAAAUCCAGUAACCGUAUUCAGACAGUUUUUCAGUUGUAAUGUUCAUUAAUGUAAUUCCCUUUUAUUUACAUCUGAAAUUGGUAUUUUCAUCAAAGGAACGAAUAAUGAAACGAAGGUCGAGGAUUCAACUCUGAGGCAAUCCUUAAGACACCGAACAUUUUCCGAGUAUUCCUCGGUAUAGCAUUCAAAGUUGAAUCUUCUUGUUAAUAGUGAAUGCCAUGCAUAUUUCAAUAGCUCUGAUANUUUUGUAUUUGCCUAGAAUUUCUUCACUACUCGAGCAGAAUCGAUGACAGAUUGGUUGUCUGCGCGCGAAUUGAGAAUAAGGGCGCGCAAGUUGUUUUUGAUAUUGAAUAUUGAUAGCAGUGUUCAAAAGGCAUUUAAGUAAUGUUUAAAGGCCAGUAACUGGAAAUAAGGUAGAAUACAAGGUACGGGUACUUCCUCUGGUUUCAAGUUACUUCACGUGGUACAAAUUACAAACAGGGAUUGGCUGAAUACCUCAUGAAUAAUUAAUGAGUUUUUGAAUAUCUGUUCAUUUAUGAUUAUCGAUGAAGGUUUACUGCUAAUGACUGAAUACUAAAGUACACAUCCAAUAGUGAAUACUCACAGGAACUUGGUUUUGUGUUUAUGUGUUCUGCAAUCUCACCGAUAACCUCAGUCUUUUUUUUGUAGUGUGAAAUGUUAGUAUUUGUUUGAUCGCCAAUAAAUAUAUAAGUGACUAAAUGA
This 1647-nucleotide small RNA is filed under the name Exaiptasia diaphana. RNAcentral's name for it is "uncharacterized LOC110243511". Lineage: Eukaryota; Metazoa; Cnidaria; Anthozoa; Actiniaria; Aiptasiidae. The record is from RNAcentral.